This is a long non-coding RNA of Pangasianodon hypophthalmus (striped catfish), 13712 nucleotides long. RefSeq lists it as uncharacterized. NCBI's taxonomy places the organism in Eukaryota, Metazoa, Chordata, Actinopteri, Siluriformes, Pangasiidae. The transcript is spliced from 2 exons. The record is from RefSeq and is a predicted model, not a curated record.
UCUGGUAUCUGACCUUUGCCUUGAUCUUUUGGCUUCUUUUUGGAUUUGCCUUUAUAAUGUAUUGGAUAUUGUCAUGUUUGACCCCAGAGUGUUAGUCCCAGUUUAACCUUUCUUGAAUAACAAAGAAAUAGUCUGUAUGAUAUCUAGCAGGUGUUGGGUUUUCUUACCCUGAAGACUUUCCCAGGUAGAAUACGGUGCUCUUCUUCGCACCUGUAUCCUGGGAGGUGUGUCUUUGUUUCUUGAUGGAAAAAUCUUUCGCUACUGAUGGUUGUUCUAUCUGUAACAUUUGACCAGAUGAUUGGAAACCAAAAGUGAGUUCCAAAAGUGAAAUCAGUUGGAAGACUAUGGAGUACAUGAUUGGUAAUGCUUAGGUUCAGAUAUGGGUCUCCCCUGGUACCCUUCUAUCAACCUUUUUUUUUAGAACUUAUAUAGACAACUACUUGGAUGUUGCUCCAAACAUGCCAGUAGGUGGACUGACUACUAAAUUGCCCCUUGGUGUGAACGAGUGUGUGAAUGUGUAUGUACAUUGUGUCAUGUGAUGGACUGGCAUCCCAUCCAGGGUUUAUUCCUGCCAUGUGUUCAGUGUUCCCAGGAUAGGCUUCAGCUCCAUGACUAGGAAACUGCUUACUGAAGAUGAAUGAAUUAAUGAAAUAAAAAAAAGUAUAUCCUUUACAGCUUGUGUAUGUGGAACAUACAGUUAUAGAAGUCAGUAGAAGGUGUAGUGUAAAUUAAGGCAUCAUAACUCAGAUAACUCUGGACACUGAUGAAUAUGGGUUGUGACUGAUGGAAUUGUAGCCUCUGUGUGACCCUUCGUUCACCAGAGCUUGACAUGGCCACUGAUUAACACCAGCUCUGAGAGGUUUCUGUAAAGAUCAUAUGGUCACUCAAAGGACAUUGGAAAAUAUAUGUUGAUGCAGAGACUAUCUAUGUGACCAUAAAAGCCUUAUUACACAGACAAGAUGUUGGCGCUGGUUCAGAGCCACUCUGUAAAAGAGCUAGUUGUUAAAAUAAGUUUGGUUUCAACACCAAACUACUGCUGGUCCAGAAUGAAGAAUCAUGACCAAGCUGAAGAAGGGAUAUAUAGUGUUAUAAACUCAAUGUAAGCUAGUGUGCCAUUGCUAUUGCUUGGUUCAGUGUUGUUGUUGUUCUUUCGGCUGCUCCCAUUAGGGGUUGCCACAGCAGAUCAUUGGUCUGCAUAUUUGAUUUGUCACAGUUUUUUAUGCCGGAUGCCCUUCCUGAUGCAACCCUCCCCAGUUUCAUCCGGGCUUGGGACCGGCACUGGGAGUGUAUUGUCGUGUACAACCCCAGUGGCUGGGAUUGGCUCCCUGGCAGGCAAUCAAACCCGGGCCGUGGUGGUGAAUGGACUGAGGCCUAACAACUUCUCCUCCAUGGACCCCUUGGUUCUUAGAUAAUUAAAAACAAUAAAACAUGUCUCAUCCCCAAGUUUGACAAGGUCAUGGUUUUAAUCCCAAACUGGGUCUGUUCUGGAUCAAGGUUGCAGGUGGAAAAAGAAGGUCGCUGGGUGUCAUCUUGUUGGGCUAGAUUUAAAAUAGUCCACGACUGCCAAGAUCUUGUUUCAAAGCUAAUAGUCAGAAUUAAAAGUAACAACAAAUAACAAAAAUGUUUGUCAUACAUACUGCAAAUCAGAAGUGUGUGAGCACCAUGGUCAGCUUGUUUCGCACACAAAGACUGAAAAAAAAAAAGAAGAAAAAUGUGUCUCCUUUUCCAGUGCCUGUACUUCUUUGGGCUAGUUUAUAGUCUUUUGUGUGGUUCUGGAGAAGAUUUAUUCCAGAAAUGUUACUUUUACAAGAUAAUACAUGGCAACUCUGCUCAUCUUUGCAUAUACUAAUCAUUAUCUAUGAUGAAAUAUGUUCUCAAAACAAAAUAGUGCAAACUCCAGGGAACUCAGGAAACUCCAACACUUGAUUAUUUAACAGUUUGACUCUAAAACUGGCGGAAAUGCAGACUCGUUCUUAAGCACUGUCACUGUGUUAUUGAAACACAGUUAUUGAAACGGCUUUGUUAACAGAUGUCUAAAAGCUAGCCAUAAGUGAGGCAGGGGUUAACAGUUACAUGUUGCUAACACAGAUUUAUCUGGCAGUUAAUUAAUGAAAGCAACAUGAGUUGUGGGAGUGAAGGGGCGGGAGAGACUGGUUCGGCUUUGCCUAACGAAGCUGGAUGAAGCAUGUUAUGAAGAUAUGAGAAUCCAAGGACCUUCAGAGGUGAAGGCACGGCCAUCAAACAUAAUUCACAUUCAUGUCUAAUUUGUGCUGGAGUGAUGAAAAGCCCUUGAUUGGGCUGCGGAAGAUUAAGAGCCCACGGACACGUGGUGAACUCACCACAGCACUUCCCACCGUGCCAUCAAAUGUCCCCUGCAGUCCAUAAAUCAAACUUUGGACUGGGGUGAAUUGGACACAUGGCUCUUAGUUAAGGAAUUAAGUUAAAUUCAGACCACAAAGAGCCAAUUUAGACAUCAUAUUCAAAAUAUGCUAGCAGGGCUAAGCCUCCCAGUGUCUUUCAAAUAUAAAGGCCAAUCAGUAUAAGGUUUGAUUUUUAGAACCACAUCAGAUUAUUUGGGGUUUUUAGUAGAACAAAGUGCAACAGUGCUACAAAUAGUUGUAAGAAAAAUACAAAGAAUGGUAUGAAGAAGCGAGGCUGGGACUGAUUUCUUUCUAGCUCAGACUGUAGAUUCAUGCAGCCAUAUCAAGUGAUUACACAGAGUGACACACCCCCAAGAAUGUGUGUCCAUUUGGGCUGGGGAAAGUAGAAGUAGAGAGAAUAAGCACACAUUGUACAGUUACACUGUACAAAUAUAAAAUACUCAACACUUAAAGUAUUAGAAAAUCACAAAUGCAGCUGUCUAUCUGCCUUUAAGUGUGUGUGUGUAAUAGUUCACCCCUCAUCUCUUAUUAGACCAUCGAUGAGACCUCAUGCAUUUCUCAACCCUAAUAGUUUAAUUGUCGAAAUAUUGAUAGUUAUUAGAUUGUAGCCCUCAUAUCGAAUAUCACAACCAGCCAUCACAUGUUCUGAAAAGAUUACGAUGAUGCUGAAACCAAAUGACAGGCCAGUAGAGCUAAAUUCAAUCAAGAAGAGACAAAGUCAGACCCUUGCACUGGUUUUGUCGUAGCCACUGAUAUACAGAUGCCCAAACUGCCUGGUCAACAUUCCAUGUCUCGCGUCAUGUCUGAGCACACGUCACAUUCGGGACAGGUGUGGACAGGCCGGGGCGAGAGAGGGCCCGCAAUCUGUGACGCUCCACUACCACCACCUGACAGCUGAGUGAGGAGAUGGGGAGACUCACUACAUGGCACCUUUCCAGGUUUAUUUGUUACCAGGCUCCGUGAUGCAUGCAAGCAUGACCUAGCUAGUGCACCUAGCAUUCCAAACAAAAGAAAAGAGACAGUGAGCACUCUGGGUACUUCAAAUAGCAAUAGGAAGGGAGGUAAGGGUUUUGUUGGUCAGCAUUUGUCAGUUUGUAAUAGCAGGAGUCCCUCUUCAGUUCCUUCCAGUCAGAUAACAGCCAGGGAAUGCACAUGACUUAAUGCUUCCCCACCUGCCACUUCACAUGCCUUCCUGGAGAAAGUGUGCUCAGCUUAUCAGGACGACGAUGAUGCCGAGGACAGGGGACGCUGAGAGAGCUUCAGCGCUGCUGGAUAAGUGCUACAGGGAGACAGUGUGAGGCAGGUGUCCUGAUUAAUUACCUGGGAGGAAGAUCACGCUAAUCUACCAUCGUCUGGUAGAUCGUGUACUGCACUCUGGUACAAAUCACAAACCACAAUUCAUACACAUGCUCAGCAAAGAGAACUUAACAGUUUGCUUUGAAUACUUUUAUGUAUUUUUGAUGUGAUAUCCAGUAGUGGUGGUAGAAAUAAUUUCACCAUAUGAAUCUUAUUAGAAGUUUCACAAUAUUUGCGUUCAUAUUAUAUUUCCAGAGGCAAAAAUAUCCCUGUUUGAUUUGAAGUUUUAAAUCUCUUAUCCAUUUAGCUAAAAUGAGUGUCAGUGGGUUAAAUGACUCAUGCCUUAAUGUAAGAAAAAUCAUUUAUAGCAUACUUUAUUCAAAUAUAUUAUCUAUUAAUCCCUAUUUGAAUAAAAAAAAGCGAUAGUACAUGUAACUUAUUGAAGCUGUGGCUGAAUCUCUAAUGGCCUUACACUGAAUAUAUAGUGCACUAGAAAGAGUCUGUAAUGACAUUUUCUUAUAUCCUAUGUAGUGAGCAUAUAUAGGGAAUAUAAAGACAUUUGGGAUUUGGUGUCAACAGUGUUAUAGGCAACCUUUUUUGCACUUUUUGUUGAUCCUCAUAAUUCUCUGAAUCACAGCUUGCUAUACAUUAUGAUUUAUAUCAUAUUAAAUAAGUCACACUAUUCAUACUAUGUGCAAAUUUGUGCAAUAUCUUUUCCCCUCUUAUGUGCAAUUGUGUCCUUAUGUUGCUGAUAUUUCAAAGACAACAAAAAUUAUUGACACAAAUAAUAAGGAUAUUGAUAUGGCUUAAACAGACAACCCAUAGAGAUGCUAUUAAAAAAUAAAUAAAUUAAUUAAUUAAUUUUUUUUUUAAUUAUGCCACACUUUUACAUUCAAAUGGCAGCAAUACAUUGUAUGUUUUACUGUAUAUCAUAUUUACUGUAUAUCAUAUCAUAUCUUCUACUGAAAACAUCUUCCCACAUGCAUGGGCUUUUCCAUCCUUAAGACAAGUUGAAGAUGGUUGGAUAAAAUGCUUUAUUUUGGUUUCCUAAAGGCUGGAUUAUACUUGCUUUUAACUACGUGGCUGAUGCUACACAUCUGUGUGGUGCAAUAUCAACAUUUCUAGACAGUUACUGAGUAUUGCCACUAACUAACUGAUAUUCCUAUUAUGUUUAGUGUUUGGACUUUAAAGAAAACUCUCACAUAAUCUUCAAACCAACUGAAAGGUGUUUUGCAUAUCAGUCUUCUGGAUUUCCUAGAUUAGCAGAUACUUUUGAAUGUAAGGUCAGAGUUUUAGACAAUGCUCAUGACAACAAUCACGACGACGGCAGAAAGUUUUAAUGAAGAUCGUCAAAUUUCCGACCACCACAAAUACAUAGUAAAAGUGUAGCUAAUGCUCAUUCUGUCUGUAGUAGUAAUAAUUAUAGGCACAUUAAUAAUCAAAGGAAUAUUAAAUAUUUCAAUAAUUCAAUUCCUUUCAAAGGAAAUUUAACGACCCUACUAUCCAAUAAAGACACCAUGAAAAUAAAAAAACAAUAUUUCCAAAGCUUUGAUUUUUGGAUGGAUGUCAUAAAAUCAGAGAGGACGUGAUAGCUGACAAGACAGUUUUGAAAAAGAGCUUUUGACAAGUCAAAUAGUUUGUUUCUGCAUGGAGAGCCUUAACUCAAGAUGUAUUCCUUGAACUGAAAGACAGACAGGACGACUGUAAGCUCUCGUCUUUUCUGCUCAGCAGCUUCAGUGUUCAGUCUUCAGCCUUCAGUGCUGUGACUCUGGUCUUCAGUGUUGCGACUCAUGCUUGCAUUUCUAUGUGUCAAAUUACUGUAUAUCAAUAAUCCGCAUACAAAUGUACGGAGAAGUGUUUGCCUCCCCCACUGCUCUUCAGACAUUACAGAUGUACAUAAUGUACAUAAUGUAACUUUAUCAGAGUCAUUACUUUACAGAAAGCCUGUUUAGUGGCAUCACAGAGAAGCUUGUCACACACUCUUAUUAAACACCCGCCUGAAGACAGCACUCAUUGCAGUGUCGGAUAAUUAAGAGAGCUUUUUUAAUGGAGUUAUUACAGCUGCCCAGGAUGACGCGGCUACCCAUGAUUCACAGAGAGGGGCCGAAUACAGCCGGCUUUAAUGGGAUCCACAUGGGGGGCUGCUGGGAGUCUUUUGUGUGGUAUCAGUAAGGGGUGCCACUCUUACAGAGUACAGCUAUAGAGGGUACAUUAAUCACUGCAGGGCUUUUUCCUUUUCUGCACAUUUUAAGACCGACUCGGGGCAAAACUAAACCGACAGAAAUAGGCCAUGUUCUCGCUGAUAUCAUAUUACAAUAAUGGAUUACACUGCAUGAGUCCAAGGUAGCAGAGACAAAUUAAGAUUAUGCAAAUUUGACCAUGCUAACUGUCCACAACUAGCAUCAGUUCAUGCUAGCUGGUCAUGACUAGCAUUAUAAGCUACUUCAAGUCCUUUUCUGAUUCUGUCCUUUUCCAGAAAUAUAACAAUAUUAGCCAAAAAAGUCACAAAAGUAGAUUAAUGUGAUCUAGACUUGGCCCAGCUACCAGCUGAAAUUUUCUGGUUGUUCUGAGAAUAUUAUAUAUAGCAUUACACCAUAGCACUACUUAAUUCUUGAUUCUGCUUGGUCCAAUUCAUUUUCUCAUUGACUCAAAGAGUAGUUUGGCUGCAAGACAAAGCCCGGCUUUAUGUUAAUGUGCUAAUAUGUUACCAUAAAAUAAUGUUGAAAUACGUUAACGUUUAACUUGUAUACUAGGUUUCUGUUGGUGUACGUUGGUGGAUGUUCCACGUAACUGGAACUACCUUGUUUCAUAUACGUUCCACAACUUAAAUGUAACUAUAAAUAGAUAAAACAUACAUGUCAUUCUUUAAAUAAAAUAAAGAUUGUUAGUGUUGGCAAAUUACUGUGGUAUAAAAGAAAUAAAACACAUCAGGAUGUGGAAAAUAAUCAUCUACCUUGGCUUGCUUUAUUACUAUAAAGUUGCUGCAGCAUUUUCAGUUAUAGGAAAAUUAACGCUAUGAUUUACUGAGCAUUGUGUGAGUGACAUUCUAAUAACACGCUGAAGCAAACCAUCAUUACAGCAGAUGUUAACAGAACACUGCAGAAAUACUGCAUUUUUGGAAAGCUACAGCCGGACCUUCUUGUAACUUGCUGAAUUUUUGCUAAACAUUCUAAUCAGAUUCUAAGUUAGCUAGGUUUCAGUUACAGAAACAUAAAAUGUGUCCAAUCCAGUGGUGUCCAAUGGACUUGUGUCCCACCUACAGUGUAUCCACACCUCAUAGCCAGUUUUAUCAGAAUAGGCUCAAGAUCCACAGAGACUCUGACCAGAACAAAGCACUUAUUGAAUUCGAAUAAAUGAAUGUUUGGCAAGACUUCGCAAUAAAUCAAUGUUCGGUGUGUGAUUAUAUACUAUAGAGUCAGGAAGUGAACUGGACAUGGAGGUCAGGUUAGAAUUCCAGAUUAGAUUCAAGAUGAAAACGGUGUAUAUUGGGAAACUUACAGUGUUUAGUUAUACUGAUCCAAUUUUCUGAAAAAUCACAUAUUAGUUCACAAAUGAAAACCUUUUAGCACCUCAAGCUCAGAACAGGUUAACAAAAUAGACAGACAUUGACAUGUUAUUCCACACACAUUUCAUCCAGCUCUAUAAAAAGUGAGCAAGAGACACCACACACUGAUAUAAAGGGGAGAAAAGCCUCCAAUUUGUUCAUUUGUGGGUUUUUUCAUAAUGCAAAAAAAAAUGCCAAAAAUAUCUCAACAGUCACCAGGGACUGAAUGACACCAGGGAGAAAACAUUACACAUGUGGAGAAAUUGAAGUGCCAAUAUGAGCAGUCUAGAAGAGAGCUUGAAGAGGAAAAAACAGGAACUUGAUAGACAUGAAGUGGGAGAGAGAGAGAGGAAAUCUCUUUGGCCAGCCAUGCUUGACCAUGCUCCUUGGAAAGCCCUUCUCUCCCCUCGUGCUUUGGCUCAUGUGCUGCAUGGAAAUGAACCAGCACUUCACUGCUCCACUCGUCCCCGUAAUACACUCUCUGUAGUGGUGACGGCCCACUAAUGAGUACACUUCCAGCCAUUAGGCUGCUUACGACAGCUAGUGUGCUGCUAAGCCCCAGGGGUUGCAACGCACCAUGUCCUCUAGGCUUUUAAGCCUCUGCGCAGUUAUAUCGCAAUGUGUUACAUUUUAUUGUCCAUAUAAUGGUGCUACUUUUAGGGGUGGAUGACACGGACUAGGGUUAGAUUCUAAAAAUAACAAGAAAAUGAGAAUACCAUUGCAUGACUACUGAGCGCCAUUUAUCAGAUACAAGUACCGUCACCAUCAACUGAGGAAAAACUCACUGAUAAUGUAACAUAGGGAACGAAACAUGAGAUAGCAUGCUGUUAUAGCAAAAGAAUCAAUGACAAGGUGGUGUGAUGUGGGUUAACACAAAGUGGAGUUACUUUUACCACCUCCAAGUUGAUUAUUUUCCAAUAAUAGCAUUUCCUAUAGCGAUGUAUUCCUUUUAUACUGCAGCAAUUUAUCGAUGGUUUAUUAACAAAUGACAUACUUUAUAUCCGUUUAUAGUUACAUCUCGUGUUGUGAAACAAUUUAGUUAUGGUUAUCACUUACAUUAUAGCAGCUAUAAACAUUUUAUAGAAGAGCCUCACCAGCCUCUUGAAAUUAAUAAGACGAAUAUGCAGCUUGUCAUGUUUCCUAGAAAACCAGAAAAAGCACAAGACACUGUCCUGAAGGCUUUCCCAUGGUGGAAAACAGUGUUACAGUGACUGUUAUAAAGUGCUGACACUGGAGACUCCUUCCGUAAACAUUAAAUAAACAUCUCCUUACAGAAAACUUCAUAAACAAUUAUCAACAACAUUUCUGUUUUGUUAAAUAAACUGCUUAUUUUUAGUCUUCGAUUAUGUGAAGUCUUGAUCAUACAAGUCGGUGAGAAUAAUGUACACAUCCUAGAGUUAUUACAGAGAUAACUCUCGCCCUGUUUCUGUUGUGCAAGGGCAGUGAAGAUCCAGGCAGAUCCAGGUCAGUUGAAGCUGAGCAGUGUGCAGUAGAAUGCAUAGGCUUAGCUGGCUCAGUUUUUGUCUCUACAGGCAUGAGGCAGGCAUUUCCUCCCUUUAAUCCUACCAGUUUACAAGACAGCCACUUUAUAGGGUCAUUGUGAAUGGCUGUUUCCCUCCAUUUAGCCAGCGCGCCACACUCAUUCCAGCUAGUUUAACGCUGCCACGGCUCCACGAAGAAGGAUUACUCUCGGGUCCGUGUUGCUUUGGAAGGUCCAUGCAGCACAGCCAGCAUGCGGUUGUUUGUAUGUCAGCCUUUUAAAAUGGACAAAUCAAUCAAACAAUGCUAACAAGGCUAGCAGCAGUGCAGCUAGUUAGCAUGGUAAGGCUAAACAAUACAAUUAGCUUUCAAAUAGCAGCACGCAGUUUAUGCUAUGUUAUAAAUAAUGAAUGAAAGCUGCAAAGAUGUAAAGUAAAAGUUCGUGGUCAUUGAGAUCAUGAGAUUUCCAGGCAGCAAGAGCCACAGCUAAUAACAAUAAGCUAUCGAACUGUAUAGGUUAAUCCAUUUCAAGCACACACACACAGUACAGCUAAAACAGAAACAAUUACAUAAACCUAAAAAAAAAAGCUAUUAAAUCUGUGACCUUUCCCCAUCGUGGAACUGAGCUUGCGCGCCAUUAUAACUCGUGUUAAUUUUGUUAGUGUGACUGAAUGUGUGCGAGGCUGAAAAGUAAAGGCCACUUUGCCAUUUUAAGAGAAAAAACUGCUAAAUGCAUGCCUUUUAUAAGUGGUAAUGCAUGCAUAAGCAGGCACUUGAAAUUCACUGUCAGCAAACAUCAGAAGGGAGGAAAUUUGCUGCAUGAGCAACUUGUAGCAGGUUGGUAAUGAUGAGGCCAGAGGACUCAACCCUGACCAAGUUAUUAUCCUGCCAUCAGAUUUUAUAUUUAAAAUGACAACUCUACAACUCUUCUCACCACUCGCUAACUGGCACACGUCCAGCAGGCUCGCAUGUCCUUCACCAGGACACUGCUGCUUCUCUUUAUUUUAUUUUAUAUGGAUACUAUUCAAAUAAUGGAAUAAGAUGUUCAUCUCGAGUCUUUUGUAAGAAUAUCAUUCUAACUAAUUAAGGUUCCCACUGGGGAGACUGUGAAGUUGGCCAUGGGCAAAGACUGAAAGAAAUCAGUGAGGGGGAAAAAAAGAGGCAAGAAAAAGAAAAAAAAGGAGAAAAAUCCAAUUCCAUCACAGAGGAGCGUAACAAAGAGGGCGGUGGCCGAUACCACACAAAAGCGGAAUGAAUUCACAACAGCCGAAGCGCAAAGGCAUUCUUUUACUUCCUAUUAUAGCGCACGUCCGAGAUGUUGUGAUCUGAUUCUCGACGGAGUCUCGGCGCUUUUCCGAUCUUUCUGAAUUCCAAAGCCGCUUCAUCCAUUAUCUUUUAAUAGGAGGGUGAUUGCUCCACAAUGCAAUCGCUACUGCUCACAGCAUCCACACAAUGAAGGGAAAUAAAUAAAGAAAGAAAACCACCGUGGACGACAAAACAGACAACAAUGAGUGAAUGUGCUCACAUAAUGAUUAUGGCAUUGAUAAAAUGUGCGGGCUAUAAUUUACACUAAAUAGCUUUGCUCUAUCCGAAAUCUCUAAAAAGCCUUUGGAGGCUGACAAGAGGCUAUGCAUUGGUUUUACUAUAUUACUACUAUUAUUAAUAAUACAGUGUCUAUUUGCAUUACAAGCCAUACAUUACGACUAUUUACACUAUUAAACCUCAAAACACACAGAACACACAGAUAUGUGCAUAGCACGUCUUGAUUUUGCGACAUAUGGUCGGCCAAACUUAAUCAUAUAUCAUCACCACUAACGGUUCAUUUGACUUCUUUAGCUCAAUGUCCUGCUUAGCAUAAAAUAUUGCUUUUAAAAGCAUUCCCACCUACAGUUUAGCUACAUCAUCUAAGCGUUCCAGCUAGCUACUACUCUCUAAUGUUAGAGAGCUAACUAGCUAUCUUGUUAACGUUACCCCUCCACGCGUAACAAUACAACUUUAGUAGCUAGUUAAGUUCUGUAAAAACCUACCUAAUGUUAGGAGAGAUUUUAUAUUAUGUAACUAAAAAUGAGGAAUGGUAAACUAACAAACAUAUAACUAUUAUAACUAUUAUAUCUUGACUAUAAUAGACUGUGAUAAAAUGUUCUCUGUGUCUGAUUAUACGAUGAAGAUCCUCUAACGAUAGACCUGUGAUUAAAGAAAUUCACUACGCUCUGCUUACAUCAUCAAUCAGCGUGAUCCAGGCUCAAAGUGAGCUUGAGGUUAUAUUUUUUUCUGUCCGUUUGCAUGUUUUGUUUACGUUUGACCAUUGCCACUACUGUGUUUGUUGCUGUCCUAUGAGUUUAUCAUCCUGUGCUGUCCUGCUAUUGGUGGAGUUUAGGCGAGCAUCGUAGCAACGCUCACACUCCGACACUGCCAGAGCUUUGAUUGGCUGUCUUGGGUCGUAAUGGCAUUAAAUCAGAAAUCGUAAGGAUGGAUAAUGGAGGUAUGGUUAGCAUGUGUUGAGAAAUGAUCCCUCUAAAGCCUCCACUUCACACACUGGAUCAAGGCGGAACCUCAUGAGCACCAGCAGAGGAGAUAAGUGUGAAUAAAGAUGGUGCAUGCUGGGUAUUGCCUCUCCUCUGAUUAAUUGCACUGAGGAGGCAUUAAGAAGAAGCACAUAUUAUCUGCUGCCCAUUUGGCUCGUGUUCCUCCCUACAUGCGUAAUUAUUAUGUCUUUCUGACAUAUACGGUAUUUCAGCCAUGCGUCUGUCACCGACGAGUCUUCGUAAGCCUGUGGACUGUGAUCACCCUCAGACGUUUGAUGGGAAACAGGUAGACAGUGGUAUGAUUUUUUAUUUUUUUUUUCAUUUGUUUGUUUGUUUUUAUUGAGCAUAAUUCCUGUGUGUGAGAAAGCCAAGAGAGCAAGUGACAAAAAUAGUGAGUAUGCGAUGAGUCAGAGUGUGUAUUCAGGCCUACAGGUUCUCCAGCGACCCAUCACUGGAUAUGGCACUUCUUCUUCUUCCUCUCUCUCUCUCUCUUUCUUUCUCUCUAGCUCUCUCCUGCACACUUUUGAUAAAAAGCAUGCUCAAUUUCAGAACAACUUAUUUUGACAAGCAAUCGUUAUCCAUGGAUAGGUGCUGGAAAACCGAUGCGGUACAUUUCAGUGACGUAAGCGCCGGGAACAGGUACACAUUUACAAUAUCUGCCUCAUAUUACUGCAAACUCUUAGGCCUGGCUAGCUCAGUUGAUAGAGCAUGAGACUUUUACUCUUUUACAGGAUCGUGGAUUUGAGCCACACCCUGGGCACCAAACCCAUCCACUGGGGUUGUACAAGCUAGUGCAAUGUCAGUGCCGGUCCCAAGCCCGGGAAAAAACGGGAGGGUUGUGUCGUGUCAGGAAGGGCAUCCGGCAUAAAACUUGUGCCAAAUCAAAUAUGCGGAUCAUAAACCAGAUUUCCAUAAUGGAGACGGAUGAUCCACUGUGGUGACCCCUAAUGGGAGCAGCCAGAAGAAGGAAAUUACUGCGAAAUCUCCUUUGGGUACAUUUUGCCAUAAUAUAGCAAAUUUUCAAGCAGCAGUGGACUAAUAACAACCGCUUGCAAAGCAGAGAGCCAGUGUCCAGAAAUGUUAUACAGGAAGAAAUUCAAAUCACAUGCAAACUGCUGCUGUAACUUUAUGGAAUCAGCUUUAGUGCUAGGAAUAAAGCCAGCUCAUCACUAACCGUUACUGUCCUGGCAUACGUGUUUAUUACAACAUCAAAAUAUACUAAUUAUGUUAGAAAUGCUUGUAAAUUUAUAGAUGUCCCUGAGGAAACAUAUUCCAAAUGGCUGCAUUUCAGUCACAGAUUUUAAUGUUUAGAAAUAAAAAAGUACAAAAAAAAAAAAAAAAAAACUCCUACUACCCAAAUUCUCCUGGUGAAUUUACAUAAAUAUUACUGUAUCAUGGAUAAUUUUGGAUGUGUUAAUUAUUUAGGUUUGUCUAGUAUUUUUUUUUCUAUUUUUAUUUCUUUUUUUAUUAUUUGUUUUAAUUGACCUAAUCUAUUUAAAUUGUUCAACUCCUAUCCAAAUACUACAAAAACAUUCUCACAAUACACAGUGUAAAAUAAUAAUAUAAAAUAGAAGUCCCUCCUUUAAAAAAAAAAAGAACAAUGAGGAAAUAAUGAGUUCAUUUGUAUUUUUAUUUAAUAAAAUCAAGCCAUUAAAGUAAAUCUUAACAUGGUACAUGUAGGAAAAUGAAAUAUUAAGUUAAAAAAAUGUCUUGAUCGAAUCAGUUGUUGCUGUGUGUAAAAUUAGAGUUUGUCAGUGUUACGUCACAUAACAAUAAAAAGUAUCACAAUAUCAUAUCAUCAUCAGGUCAUCCAGCCUUAACUCUAAUCAUAAAAUAUAACUUAAUAAUUACCUAAAAAUAAUAAUAAAUCUUAAAUUUAAAAAUGAUGACAAGAAGUUGGGAUGCAGUGUUCAAAUUGUUCUAGUUAUUAUUAUUAUCAUUAUUAUUAUUAUUAUUAUUAUUAUUAUUAUUAUUAUGAGCUCAUAAAGUUGUAACACUUCACAUGACUCAAGUCAUAUGAAAAGUUAUGAAGGUUAGGUUGUGGGUUACAGGCGUGGUUAGUGUUUGUAUCUUUGCAUAAGACUUUCAUUCACUCAUCUUCAGUAAGCGCUUUAUCCCGAUCAGUGUCAUCUUGGAUCCGGAGUCUAUCCCGGGAACACACAGGAAUACACCCUGGAUAGGACAUCAGUCCAUCAUAGUGCAACAUUCACACACACUUUCACAACUAGGGGCAAUUUAGCAUAUUCAAUCCACCUACUGACAUGUUUAUAGGAGGGGGAAGAAACCGGAGAACCUGGAGGAAACCCACACAGAUACGAGGAGAACAUGUGAAACUCCACACUGACAGUAAUGUGAGCUCAGGAUUGAACUGGAGACUCUGGAGCUGUGACCAUCACCUUGGCUUGUUUGAAUUUAUACAAAUAUCUCAUAACGGUAGUUUAACAAAAAAAGCGUAAAAAAAAAAAAACAUUCCGAUUGUGAUUUGUA